RNAcentral lists this ribosomal RNA (213 nucleotides) under Pleosporales sp. RNAcentral's name for it is "partial large subunit ribosomal RNA". The record is from RNAcentral. Lineage: Eukaryota; Fungi; Ascomycota; Dothideomycetes; Pleosporales.
AAGCGCUUGCAGCUAGACUUGCCUGUAGUUGCUUAUCCAGACUUUUGUCUGGUGCACUCUUCUGCGGGCAGGCCAGCAUCAGUUUGGGCGGUUGGAUAAAGGGCUCUAUCACGUACCCCUCUUCGGGGGGGCCUUAUAGGGGAGUCGUCAUGCAACCAGCCUGGACUGAGGUCCGCGCAUCUGCUAGGAUGCUGGCGUAAUGGCUGUAAGCGG